Molecule: unclassified non-coding RNA, 1986 nt
Filed under: Amphibalanus amphitrite
Lineage: Eukaryota; Metazoa; Arthropoda; Thecostraca; Balanomorpha; Balanidae
Description: farnesoate epoxidase-like, transcript variant X1
Source: RNAcentral
CAGAGGCGACGGGACGCUCACUGAAUGCUGGGAGCCGGAGCGAGGCGGAGCACUGCCCCGCUGAAGUCGCCGUCAUGCUGACUGUUGUUCUGAUCGCGGGUCUGGUGCUGGCGGUACUUUGGUCACUGCGGGUGAAACGACCGACCAACUAUCCACCCGGGCCACCGAUGUUCCUGAUCUUUGGCAACCUGUUCGAAACGUUCAGAUCUCUCAAAGGAGACUUCGAAGUAAUGGUCAAAGAACAUCGCAAAAAAUAUGGAGACAUUAUGGCCUACAUUAUGCCAGGAAACUUCAAGAUUGUUCAUCUGCUAAAUUACGACUUGAUCAAGGAAUCGUGUGCCAGACAGGAGUUCAGUGGAAGGCCUAGCAACUUCAUAGUUCUUUACCGAAGCUUCCAGAAGAAGCUAGGAGUGAUCCUCAAUGACGGUCCUGCCUGGCAGGAGCAUCGACGCUUUACCCUGCGGCACUUGCGUGAUUUGGGUUUCGGAACUAACUCCAUGGAGACGAUUAUUCUGGAGGAGUUUGAGCAUCUGGCCAAAGAAAUGGAGCAAGACAUGCACUCCCCAAUGAAGGUAAAUCAAAGGUUUAACUUGACGGUACUGAACGUGCUCUGGAGACUGGUUGCUAGCAAACGCCUGGAUCGCAGCGAACCUGAAGCUAAACAGAGGGUCAAAGAAGUGAAUGAUUUCGUGACCAUAACCGGUCCUAGUAAUCCAUUAAGCAUGUUCCCGUUUCUGCGCUUCAUCAGCCCAAACUCGUUUGGCUUGAAGGAGCUGAAAAACAACAGGGACAACUCACUAGCUAUGUUUCAAGAGCUGAUGAAGGAGCACCGCCAGACGCUGGACCGCGCCGCGCCUCGUGACUUCAUUGACCGCUUCCUCAUCGAGAUGGAGUCACCGGACGCGGCGGCACGCAGCUUCACCGACGAGAACCUCUCUAUCGUCUGCAUGGACCUGUUUCUGGCGGGCAUGGAGACCACCUCCACGUCUCUGACCUGGGCGCUGCUGCUGAUGGUGAUGCACCCGGACGUGCAGACGCGCGUGCAGCAGGAGAUUGACGCCGUGCUGGGUGUGGGCGCCGAUCGCCGUCUGCCCUCCUACACCGACCGCGCCAACAUGCCGUACACAGAGGCCACCCUGCAGGAGGUGUCGCGACGCGCCACCGUGGUGCCGCGCGCCGUCGGCCACUCGGCGCUGCAGGACGCCCCGCUCGGCGGCUACACCGUGGCCAAAGGCUCUCUGGUUCUGAUGCACCUGGACGUCGUCCACAUGGACCCCGCCUACUGGGGAGAUCCGGACACCUUCCGACCGGAGCGCUUCAUCAACGCCGACGGCACGUUCCGGCGCGACGAGCACGUCAUCCCGUUCGGCAUCGGCAGGAGGUUCUGUCUCGGCGAGUCGCUGGCGCGCAUGGAGAUGUUCGUGCUGUUCACCUGUCUGCUGCAGCGGUUCCGGUUCUCGGCAGCUCCCGGACAGACCCUGAGUCUGGAGAGCCGUGUCGCUGCCGUUCGGCAGCCGAAUGAGUUCUUCGUGAACAUCCAGCUUCGGGGCUGAAGGCCCCCCACUCUCCCCAAUGUGGCCAGGCGUAGGUACCUGACUGGCUGAGCUCGAUGCGAGAGAGACUGAUGAGAAACUGGGACAGCUAUUGUCAUGUACAUAGGUACUGUUAUGUAGCUGUUAAUCAUUGUUUACGUGUCUAAUAUCGCUCUGCACAGUGUUGCGGUGGUGAUUGGUUCGCACAAUGCUUUCGUUGAUUGUGACGCACGUCGUUUGGUGCUGAUGAACAGCGUUUACGCAAGGCAAUACUUAAAUGCACAAUCAUGGUGUUGUUAUAUCUUACCCUAGAUCGAUAAUGAAACGAAUGUCUUGCCAAUUUCACGUCAAAGUGUAUCUUUCUUGCAUGUAUACUCUUUGCACAACGCGAAAUGACUCUGAUCGCAAUGCAUUUAAGCAAAUACAACAUGCAAUAAAUCUGAGUGGAAAAUUG